RNAcentral lists this ribosomal RNA (433 nucleotides) under uncultured bacterium. RNAcentral describes it as "partial 16S ribosomal RNA". It matches the Rfam family "Bacterial small subunit ribosomal RNA", at positions 29 to 507 of the family's 1533-position model. The record is from RNAcentral.
AACGAACGCUAGCGGCAUGCCUAACACAUGCAAGUCGAACGAGACCUUCGGGUCUAGUGGCGCACGGGUGCGUAACGCGUGGGAACCUUCCCUUAGGUUCGGAAUAACUCCCCGAAAGGGGUGCUAAUACCGGAUAAUGUCUUCUGCCCAAAGAUUUAUCGCCUUUGGAUGGGCCCGCGUUGGAUUAGCUAGUUGGUAGGGUAAAAGCUUACUAAGGCGCCGAUCCAUAGCUGGGCUGAGAGGAUGAUCAGCCACACUGAGACUGAGACACGGCCCAGAAUCCUACGGGAUGCAGCAGUGGGUAAUAUUGGACAGUGGGCGAAAGCCUGAACCAGCAAUGCCGCGUGAGUGAUGAAGGCCUUAGGGUUGUAAAGCUCUAUUACCCGGGAUGAUAAUGACAGUACCGGGACAAUAAGCUCCGGCUAACUCCGUG